UUUUGAUGCAUAGAAAAUUAAUUGAUGUCAUGUUUAUUCAAAUUACAUAGCAUGUAUGCAUUUAUGACUCACCGAUGAAACCAUUUUUCAGAUAAAUUUUUUCUUAUUAAAAUCGAAACCCCAACUAAAAUAAUGCAACAUCAUUAUUCAAUAUUAUAAAAUUAAACUUAAUAAAUUGACCAUUUUUAUUAUGAAAAUGAAUCACGUCUUUUCGCAA
RNAcentral lists this long non-coding RNA (217 nucleotides) under Salvia miltiorrhiza (redroot sage). RNAcentral's name for it is "long non-coding RNA (SMIL_LNC002747)". The record is from RNAcentral. Lineage: Eukaryota; Viridiplantae; Streptophyta; Magnoliopsida; Lamiales; Lamiaceae.